GCCUCCUUAGCUCAGUUGGUUAGAGCGGCGGACUGUUAAUCCGUAGGUCCCAGGUUCAAGUCCUGGAGGGGGCGCCA
Molecule: transfer RNA, 77 nt
Filed under: Saprospiraceae bacterium
Lineage: Bacteria; Pseudomonadati; Bacteroidota; Saprospiria; Saprospirales; Saprospiraceae
Description: tRNA-Asn
Rfam family: tRNA
About the family: Transfer RNA (tRNA) molecules are approximately 80 nucleotides in length. Their secondary structure includes four short double-helical elements and three loops (D, anti-codon, and T loops).
Source: RNAcentral